RNAcentral lists this ribosomal RNA (497 nucleotides) under uncultured bacterium. Its description in RNAcentral is "partial 16S ribosomal RNA". It matches the Rfam family "Bacterial small subunit ribosomal RNA", at positions 28 to 507 of the family's 1533-position model. The record is from RNAcentral.
GAUGAACGCUGGCGGCGUGCCUAAUACAUGCAAGUCGAGCGAACAGACGAGGAGCUUGCUCCUCUGACGUUAGCGGCGGACGGGUGAGUAACACGUGGAUAACCUACCUAUAAGACUGGGAUAACUUCGGGAAACCGGAGCUAAUACCGGAUAAUAUAUUGAACCGCAUGGUUCAAUAUUGAAAGACGGUUUUGCUGUCACUUAUAGAUGGAUCCGCGCCGCAUUAGCUAGUUGGUAAGGUAACGGCUUACCAAGGCAACGAUGCGUAGCCGACCGGAGAGGGUGAUCGGCCACACUGGAACUGAGACACGGUCCAGACUCCUACGGGAGGCAGCAGUAGGGAAUCUUCCGCAAUGGGCGAAAGCCUGACGGAGCAACGCGGCGUGAGUGAUGAAGUUCUUCGGAUCGUAAAACUCUGUUAUUAGGGAAGAACAAAUGUGUAAGUAACUAUGCACGUCUUGACGGUACCUAAUCAGAAAGCCACGGCUAACUACGUG